UCUGGCGACCGGCGCACGGGUGAGUAACACGUAUCCAACCUGCCGAUAACUCGGGGAUAGCCUUUCGAAAGAAAGAUUAAUACCCGAUGGCAUAAUUAGACCGCAUGGUCUUAUUAUUAAAGAAUUUCGGUUAUCGAUGGGGAUGCGUUCCAUUAGGCAGUUGGUGAGGUAACGGCUCACCAAACCUUCGAUGGAUAGGGGUUCUGAGAGGAAGGUCCCCCACAUUGGAACUGAGACACGGUCCAA
RNAcentral lists this ribosomal RNA (246 nucleotides) under uncultured bacterium. RNAcentral describes it as "partial 16S ribosomal RNA". It matches the Rfam family "Bacterial small subunit ribosomal RNA", at positions 87 to 334 of the family's 1533-position model. The record is from RNAcentral.